CAGGAAAUAGUUUAGUUUAGAAUUCUGGCUUUGGGAGCCAGGGGUGGGAGUUAGAAUCUCCUUUUUCUGG
This 70-nucleotide transfer RNA is filed under the name Labigastromyzon changtingensis changtingensis. RNAcentral's name for it is "Pseudogastromyzon changtingensis changtingensis tRNA-Pro". It matches the Rfam family "tRNA". Rfam says of the family: Transfer RNA (tRNA) molecules are approximately 80 nucleotides in length. The record is from RNAcentral. Lineage: Eukaryota; Metazoa; Chordata; Actinopteri; Cypriniformes; Gastromyzontidae.